CUGGAAAAGAGGAAGUUGGCCAGGGGUGGGUCAGUCCUGUGGUUAGGUACCCUUGCUCCAGACCAGGCUCCGAGAUGACAGCCGGGGUCUCUGCUCUGCGGAGGGCAGGAGGGCAGCACCCACUCCAUGGAGCCCUUCUCCUUUUUGUCAGCAGCUCAAAGACCUCUGGAGGCAAGUUGCUACCCUGAAUUAAGAAGAAAGGAAGGAAGGUUCUGAAUGCAAAGCCUGUGACCCACCCUCGGAUGGCAGCCCCUGCUCCCUCCCUGUGCCCCUAAAAGCUGACAGCCAUGUCCUCUUCUCUGCCAUGGCCAGGGAACGAGAGGCUGGUUCUGUGCCAGAGCUGACAGAUGCCCACAGCAGCACUGAGGACCUUCUCUCACUAGAUAUGGCUCUUCAGGGCACAGAGUACUACAGGGACCUGGGCUACGGGUCACCUGUGGAGAUGACGUCAUGGCUCCCUUUGACCUCGUGGUCCCAGGAGAAGGUGCCAGGGGAGCUUGUAGUCCCCCAACUCCAGGAGCCGAACCACCUCCUUCAGAGCCCCGAUGCCCUUGGUUCUGGGGACCGAGUUGCUGAGCCCUUUCCCACGUUGGCCCGUUCAGUGACCACAUCUAGGAGGCACAGCUGGGAGAGGCCCCUCUCUCCCUUAGAUAUGGACCGGAGACUCAGCCUUGACACCUCUGACAUGGGCAGUGACGAGGAGCGGAGUUUGCCCAGAACAUUUGCCAGCCACUCCUUGAAUCUGCCUGGAGGGGGCCUGCAGGCCUGGGCAGAGAGGACAGGUCAUCGAGGAGCAACCGUCAGGGGGAGAGUCUCACCUGAGCUUCCCUACGUAGGCCUGGAGGAGCCAGAGGAUGACUCACUGAGACAGCAGGUAAGUGGGAAUGUGCCAAGACAAGCAAGUGGGCAUACUCAGGAUGGCCUUUCUCGUUUCUGGACCAGAGACAAGCUGCAGAAGCAGGAUGGGCUUUGUAAUAGUUAAAGGAAUUGUUGAGGAUUGAAG
RNAcentral lists this long non-coding RNA (1003 nucleotides) under Monodelphis domestica (gray short-tailed opossum). RNAcentral's name for it is "lncRNA (ENSMODG00000034369.2)". Lineage: Eukaryota; Metazoa; Chordata; Mammalia; Didelphimorphia; Didelphidae. The record is from RNAcentral.